AUGUUUUCAGGACACAACAUGGAGGAUGACUUUCUGACGAACACUGUUGCAAGAUGCUGUGGUAGCAAGGAUGCAACCAACGCCAGCCAGCCACAAUGAAACGCGGCUUAAUGUCGUUGGAAUGAUUCACAUCCAUAAUAAGACGAGCCAUUGAACAAUGAUAGAUGGGGUGGCCCUGAUCAAUAAUAGCGCAUGCACCCUCUCUGACAAAUGCUCCGCUGCCCUCUGCAUAUAUUUGUUGGCCUCAACGCAUCUCAUCAACUCUAGUACAUGGUGUGGCAGCUAGAUGGAACUGAUUAACAAGCAGUCCAAAGUCAUGACCCUGCGUGACUCCUGAGACACGGAACACGUGAGAUUGCAAUUGGCUACUCCUUCAACCACAUAUCCAUGAGUGGGAAAUGAUUGGAAAAUGAUUUACAGGUGGAAACAGGACAGCCCAAGAUUCAAAAUAUUCGUGAUGAGGCACUUCUCAUUCUAAAUCAAGGACUGGGUGGCUGAUGGACAGAACUGGACUGGCUGGAACUUCGGACUAUAUGAUUUUUGAAGAACCUUGAAUCAGCUAAAUAGUAUUUUCGAAUUGUAGAAAUAUGCUAUCACGGUUACAUCAAUCAUUGAAAUAUGUGGAUGUUUUUGGAAAAGAAUGAACUUGCUUCGAAGAGAAAAAAUCUAAAAAAUAUUCCCAUCAUGAACAUCCUAAGUUUUUCUGAGACUGAGACUAAAAAUUGAACCUGAAUUCAAGUGUAUGGAACAUAACCAACUUUCUGGACUAGCCU
Molecule: long non-coding RNA, 773 nt
Organism: Nilaparvata lugens (brown planthopper)
Lineage: Eukaryota; Metazoa; Arthropoda; Insecta; Hemiptera; Delphacidae
Exons: 4
Source: RefSeq, a predicted model, not a curated record